GACGAACGCUGGCGGCGUGCUUAACACAUGCAAGUCGAACGGAAAUGCCCUGCUUUCGUGGGUUGCUCGUGUGGCGAACGUGAGUGUAACAUGUGAGUAACCUGCCCUUCACUUUGGUAUAACUUCAGGAAACUGGGUCUUAUUCCGGACUGCUGCUCCUGCUGCAUGGUGGGGUUUGGAAAGUUUUGGUGGUUGGGGAUGGACUCGCGGCUUAUCAGCUUGUUGGUGGGGUAGUGGCUUACCAAGGCUUUGACGGGUAGCCGGCCUGAGAGGGUGACCGGCAACAUGGGGACUGAGAUACGGCCAAGACUCCUACGGGAGGAAGAAGUGGGGAAUAUGGAAAAAUGGGCGGAAGCCGGAUGCAGCAAGGCGGGGGGCGGGAUGACGGCCUUCGGGUUGUAAACCGCUUUCGCAUGUGACGAAGCGUGAGUGACGGUAAUGGGUAAAGAAGCACCGGCUAACUACGUG
Molecule: ribosomal RNA, 468 nt
Filed under: uncultured bacterium
Lineage: Bacteria
Description: partial 16S ribosomal RNA
Rfam family: Bacterial small subunit ribosomal RNA
Source: RNAcentral